Carlito syrichta (Philippine tarsier) is the source of this 214-nucleotide RNA transcript. It is a transcript of the gene named thymosin beta-10 pseudogene, with no coding region annotated. The record is from RefSeq and is a predicted model, not a curated record. The transcript has a single exon. Lineage: Eukaryota; Metazoa; Chordata; Mammalia; Primates; Tarsiidae.
AUGGCAGACAAACCGGACAUGGGGGAAAUCGCCAGCUUGAUAAGGCCAAACUGAAGGAAACGGAGACACGGGAGAAGAACACCCUGCCCACCAAAGAGACCAUCGAACAGGAGAAGCGGAGUGAAAUUUCCCAAGUCUGGAGGAUCUCCCCACCCCCAUCAUCUUCUAGACCCCAGUCAUGAUGUGGAGGAAGAGCCACCUGCGAGAUGGACAC